This is a long non-coding RNA of Gasterosteus aculeatus aculeatus (three-spined stickleback), 1426 nucleotides long. The record is from Ensembl. NCBI's taxonomy places the organism in Eukaryota, Metazoa, Chordata, Actinopteri, Perciformes, Gasterosteidae.
GGAAGACGGAAACGGCAGCUGGGAAAAUCAGAAUGAAAUCAUGAACUUCUCAAGCCUGUUUUUUUCCUUCUGUGUCUGGGAGCUAAGCUCUUAGGUGCGCUCGGCGUCCGCUUGAGCCAAAGCUCGCGCCAUUGUAACGGCUGCAAGAGCAGACAAUUAGUUUCAGUUUGGACUGAGGCUGAUGUUGACACGAGGAAGCCGUAUAGUCUCGAGGGCGGCUGAGAAGGCAGCCACCCACUGGGGAUUUGGGAAAAAGCCAGAGACUUUUCCGUCGCUCUCACAAGCAACUUUGGAUGUGUCCCUCGUCGCUAAUGUGGCAAUCCUGAAGGCGAGACAACGUUUUAUUCAUCCAUCAGCGGUACGCUCGACUUUGCUUCGGUCCAGAUAGCUCUGUCCCUCCCUGACCUCUCGUGACCUCAGGUAUCAUGGAAAUGCUCCGAGGGUCAAAAUAAGUGCUUAAAGGGAAGCGGCUGAAUUGAGUCAAUCUUCACUGUUUUUCUAUGGUUUCUAUUAUGUAUAAAAUUGUAUGUUAUCCGAAAAUGUAUUCUGAGACUGAAUCCUGGCCCUGAGAUGUACUACAUGGAGGUUAGUAGAUGGGCACCAUUUAGAAUAAUUCAAUCCUAUUUAGAACAGUAAAGAAGGAUAUUAGGAUUACCAUGAAAUUAAAGUCUGUGUUUAGUUAACAAAAUGUAUAACUGCUCCGUUUCUUCCCAAUUGUUUCUAGCGAUUGUUCUGCUGUACUGAAACUUUACUGAAAGGUUGAACUCCCGAAGGCCUCGGGGCUCUGCGCUAUUUAAGUUUUUAAAAUGGGUCCACUUUUUCAAAAGGCUUCCUUUUUCCAUCCUUACAUGGACAUUUAAAUGUCAUGUCUGUAUCUCCCCCUUCUUUAACCGUUCGUUGUAUUACCAGAGUAAGAGGAACUACGAUGAUGACAGACUCUAAAGUCCCUUUCCUGCUAAUGAAGUUUUUCUAAGCAUCAUUCAUCGGCCCACUUCUUUGUCAGUUCCGUAUUCAUCAUAACGUAACUUGACUAUUAUUAUUUGAGUCAUUUUUUUCAACUUCACGCACUAAUAAUAUUUUUAUUUGUUGUUGUUGUUGUUGUUUGUUCAUUUCUUCCUUCUUUUCCCCCUCAAUUAAAAAUACUUGUGUUGGAUUUCUAACAUCUUUAUUUCAUGGCAAGUUCUUAUGCAUGUUUUAUUUCUACUUCUUGACUAAAUGUGGUUUACCAUAAAGCCAACAAUAAAGGGUAAUUAAAAUGUCAUUGUGAUCAAAUAGUGAGAAAAUAACAAUGGAAACAUGUUCAUAUGUGUGUGUGUGUGAGAACAUAGAGUAUCACAGUUGGUUUAUUGUGGCCUGUAGAACAGCGAGCAAUAGUGAGGGAAAGACCUCAAAUACAGACCUUUAAUAAAAGUAUUCUAAAAUGUCA